AUUGAACGCUGGCGGCAGGCCUAACACAUGCAAGUCGAGCGGAUGAAGGGAGCUUGCUCCUGGAUUCAGCGGCGGACGGGUGAGUAAUGCCUAGGAAUCUGCCUGGUAGUGGGGGAUAACGUCCGGAAACGGGCGCUAAUACCGAAUACGUCCUGAGGGAGAAGGUGGGGGAUCUUCGGACCUCACGCUAUCAGAUGAGCCUAGGUCGGAUUAGCUAGUUGGUGGGGUAAAGGCCUACCAAGGCGACGAUCCGUAACUGGUCUGAGAGGAUGAUCAGUCACACUGGAACUGAGACACGGUCCAGACUCCUACGGGAGGCAGCAGUGGGGAAUAUUGGACAAUGGGCGAAAGCCUGAUCCAGCCAUGCCGCGUGUGUGAAGAAGGUCUUCGGAUUGUAAAGCACUUUAAGUUGGGAGGAAGGGCAGUAAGUUAAUACCUUGCUGUUUUGACGUUACCAACAGAAUAAGCACCGGCUAACUUCGUG
Molecule: ribosomal RNA, 484 nt
Filed under: uncultured bacterium
Lineage: Bacteria
Description: partial 16S ribosomal RNA
Rfam family: Bacterial small subunit ribosomal RNA
Source: RNAcentral